UGCGCCUUGCCACGCCCGCUCAGAAACUUAAAUGAAUUGACGGGGCCCGCACAAGCGGUGGAGCAUGUGGUUUAAUUUCGACGCAACGCGCAGAACCUUACCUGGGCUUGACAUCCCGAUCGCACCUUUUGGAAACUUAAGGGUCAGUUCGGCUGGAUCGGUGACAGGUGCUGCAUGGCUGUCGUCAGCUCGUGUUGUGAGAUGUUGGGUUAAGUCCCGCAACGAGCGCAACCCUCGUCCUUAGUUGCCAGCAUUAAGUUGGGCACUCUAAGGAGACUGCCGGUGUUAAACCGGAGGAAGGUGGGGAUGACGUCAAGUCCUCAUGGCCCUUAUGUCCAGGGCUACACACGUGCUACAAUGGCCGGUACAAAGGGCUGCAAUACCGCAAGGUGGAGCGAACCCCAAAAAGCCGGUCUCAGUUCGGAUUGGAGUCUGCAACUCGACUCCAUGAAGUUGGAAUCGCUAGUAAUCGCGGAUCAGCAUGCCGCGGUGAAUACGUUCCCGGGCCUU
This 510-nucleotide ribosomal RNA is filed under the name uncultured Pelobacter sp. RNAcentral's name for it is "bacterial SSU rRNA". It matches the Rfam family "Bacterial small subunit ribosomal RNA", at positions 903 to 1382 of the family's 1533-position model. Lineage: Bacteria; Pseudomonadati; Thermodesulfobacteriota; Desulfuromonadia; Desulfuromonadales; Desulfuromonadaceae. The record is from RNAcentral.